Long non-coding RNA from Salvelinus sp. IW2-2015, 633 nucleotides. RefSeq lists it as uncharacterized. Lineage: Eukaryota; Metazoa; Chordata; Actinopteri; Salmoniformes; Salmonidae. The record is from RefSeq and is a predicted model, not a curated record.
UGGGCGGCAGUAAAUCAGUCACGCCACGGUCAAAACAUUGGGGUGAAAAAAAUGUCCUUCACAAUCCUAUCAUCGGAUGCGCACCGGUUGACAUCAAACAUGAAAAAGAUGCAUACAAUUUAGUUCUAAUGCAAAUAUGUGUAUUCUACUGCAAGCAAGAGAUGUAGUUUACCGGUAUCUUUGAAAUAUUUUACACCCUUGCAAUAAACCGCAAGGGACAGAGGAUCCAUUGAAUAUUGAGGAGCAAGCAAGAAUACAAUAGGAUGGAGACAGUAUGUGGUAAAGGAGGGACAUUGGAUGGUGACAUGCUGAUGGUCAUCGUUAAACAAGAGGAAGAAGACCAUAUGGAGCAGAUGUCCAAUGGUCCACUGUCAUCUGACACGCUCAUCAAACAGGAGCAAGAAGAGGGCCUAGAACAAGGCACUACAGUCGCGCUUCAACUCCAGCUCCAGGCGACCAACUCCCUGAGGAAACAGACACCCUGGAAGAAGGAGGAGGAAAUGAAAGACUGAAGAGAGGUGCUGGUCUGCUGUUGAGACUGAGGAUGUCUCUGGGCAGCCCAGCCUCACAUUCAAUUCGCGCAUAUAUGUACAAAAUGUAUUUCAGCAGAUUUCGUGCGUUUUUGUGCAUUUU